RNAcentral lists this ribosomal RNA (395 nucleotides) under uncultured bacterium. Its description in RNAcentral is "partial 16S ribosomal RNA". It matches the Rfam family "Bacterial small subunit ribosomal RNA", at positions 523 to 918 of the family's 1533-position model. The record is from RNAcentral.
AUACGUAGGGUGCGAGCGUUAAUCGGAAUUACUGGGCGUAAAGCGUGCGCAGGCGGUUUUGUAAGUCAGGGGUGAAAUCCCCGGGCUCAACCUGGGAACUUCCAUUGUGACUGGAAGGCUGGAGUGCGGCAGAGGGGGGUGGAAUUCCGCGUGUAGCCGUGAAAUGCGUAGAUAUGGGGAGGAACACCGAUGGCGAAGGCAAUCCCCUGGGCCUGCACUGACGCUCAUGCACGAAAGCGUGGGGAGCAAACAGGAUUAGAUACCCUGGUAGUCCACGCCCUAAACGAUGUCAACUGGUUGUUGGGAAUUUAUUUUCUCAGUAACGAAGCUAACGCGUGAAGUUGACCGCCUGGGGAGUACGGCCGCAAGGUUAAAACUCAAAGGAAUUGACGGGG